CCUGCAAUAACCCUUCAAAUUCCUCAGAGGAAACACCAUCAUAGCCCAAAUAGAAUACUUCCAGCUUGUAGUACAGCUGAAGUUGUAGUAUUUAAAUAUCCAUGUUUAUGCGCUAGCUUUAAAACUUGCAAGUAUUUGUUCCUUCCAGGAAGUAAGGGAGAUAAAAGCUAUCUCCAAACAGUUUCUGAUGCUGGGUGGUCUUAUCUUUAAAUAGCAAAUCACUUUCAUUGUGAAGGAGUUGAAAUGGCGUUACAUUCUGUUGUUUCUUGUUAACAUUGCACAUUGCAAGUUGGUAAGCUAACAAUUCUCUGGGGCUCAUAUAAAAAGACAUUCGAUGUACUACAUCACCUGGUGAAGGCUGAGUCAGGCUGAGGUAACUUUACUGAUAGUAAUUCUGUGUUCACUUUCUCUCAGGAUCACUGUAGGCAAAUCAUGCCAGAAGCUGUAGAUUGUCACCUGUUGGGGAUAGAAAAGGACACCUUGCACUUGACAGCUUACUUAGACCAGAUGUUUUUAGUUAAGAGUUUUAUACAGUCAGAAACAGGAACGAAGACAGAAGACUAAGCAUAAACUAAGUCACUCAACAGUAAGUUCUCAUCUUGCCCUUGUAUAUAAAAUUAUUUG
This is a long non-coding RNA of Gallus gallus (chicken), 624 nucleotides long. NCBI's taxonomy places the organism in Eukaryota, Metazoa, Chordata, Aves, Galliformes, Phasianidae. The record is from Ensembl.